Paramormyrops kingsleyae is the source of this 763-nucleotide long non-coding RNA. RefSeq lists it as uncharacterized. Lineage: Eukaryota; Metazoa; Chordata; Actinopteri; Osteoglossiformes; Mormyridae. The record is from RefSeq and is a predicted model, not a curated record.
CUGAAGGCUAGCCCCACCCCUGUACUUUAAUAGGCCGGCUGAUUCCGGUGAGACCACUUACAUCUAGGGGCACCUGUGAGCACCUGACAUUAUCGACGAGACCCAAAGCCGCACUGUUCCUGCCGGCAGAGAAAGAGGAGCCAUGUACCUGCCCACAGUGACGCCCAUCAUCCUGCUGCUCACCCUCACAUCAGUCCUAGCAGAAGACGAACAGGAUGAGGUCAGCUCCGGCGAGUUACUCUCAGGCAUGGAAGACGAAGGUUACCGUUUUCUGAAUAUUUCUGAGAUCUCCGGGGAUGAGGGCGGCAGCUCUUCAUCAGGAGCCUUUUCUGGCAUACUCCCAGUCCAGCUCAACGAUACCAGUGGAAAUGACACCAGAAUGUCACCCAUGGAAAACUUCAUGCAGGAAAGUGCUGCUCUCACUGGGUGGAUGAACAACGACACCACAGUUGAUAAUAAUAACAACACUAAUGUGAUGGACUCACCCCAAAGCCAAAACAAUACUUGGUUUUAGGGAUUCUAAGCCCCAAAUACAGGGAUUAACAACUCAGUGAAACCUAUUUAAAACUAUGUGAUUUAGUUCAAAUGAAUGGAAAUUUGCACUGCUAUUCUUUAAUUUAGCUGAUUCACUAUGCUGUUGGGCAUACUAUAAAAUUAAUCAAGUCAUCUGUCAAACUAUAACCUGAUAUAAGGCAGACCCAAAAUUGGGAAAAAAACAGUAAACUUGAAGUGUUGAAACAUAAUAAAGUUGUAACUUGAAGGA